AAUAGAUACCCGGGUAGUCCACGCCGUAAACGUUGGGCGCUAGAUGUGGGGACCAUUCCACGGUUUCCGUGUCGCAGCUAACGCAUUAAGCGCCCCGCCUGGGGAGUACGGCCGCAAGGCUAAAACUCAAAGGAAUUGACGGGGGCCCGCACAAGCGGCGGAGCAUGCGGAUUAAUUCGAUGCAGCGCGAAGAACCUUACCAAGGCUUGACAUAUACGAGAACGCUCUAGAAAUAGGGAACUCUUUGGACACUCGUAUACAGGUGGUGCAUGGUUGUCGUCAGCUCGUGUCGUGAGAUGUUGGGUUAAGUCCCGCAACGAGCGCAACCCUCGUUCUAUGUUGCCAGCGGUUCGGCCGGGAACUCAUAGGAGACUGCCGGGGUCAACUCGGAGGAAGGUGGGGAUGACGUCAAAUCAUCAUGCCCCUUAUGUCUUGGGCUUCACGCAUGCUACAAUGGCCGGUACAAAGGGCUGCAAUACCGUAAGGUGGAGCGAAUCCCAAAAAGCCGGUCUCAGUUCGGAUUGAGGUCUGCAACUCGACCU
RNAcentral lists this ribosomal RNA (542 nucleotides) under uncultured bacterium. Its description in RNAcentral is "bacterial SSU rRNA". It matches the Rfam family "Bacterial small subunit ribosomal RNA", at positions 777 to 1318 of the family's 1533-position model. The record is from RNAcentral.